Cucurbita pepo subsp. pepo (vegetable marrow) is the source of this 317-nucleotide non-coding RNA. Lineage: Eukaryota; Viridiplantae; Streptophyta; Magnoliopsida; Cucurbitales; Cucurbitaceae. The record is from RefSeq and is a predicted model, not a curated record.
UAGGGACAACUAAUGUCUUCUCUUAAAAACUUCUAAUUUUUCAGGCCGAUCAAUCAGGGACCAUAGUCGAGGUUAUUGCAGAGGACGGGAAGCCUGUUAGUGUCGACACGCCUUUGUUUCGCAUUCAACCUUAGAUGAAUCCUGUUUCGUUUAACAUGAGUCGAGUUAAGCUGAGUUCAGGAGGCAAAUUGAGUUUCCAAGCAAGUUCAGGUUGUGGAUUAGUUAUGGUAAUGUCUUCUUUUCUCUUUAAUUGAGUGUAAUCAGAGAGAGAUUGUGUUCAUAAAUGACAAUUCCUUUUCCAGUUUAACUUUGGUUGU